UGCAUCUCCUCUUUUCAACGCAAAUGUCUUGAGUCAUAGUUUAAAGCUCAGAUCUCAGAUCAUUGCUCUGUUGGUGUAUUUCUGUGUAUUUGAAGACGACUUUGGCAACCUGAAUGUUACUUUGUUCUGUUUCAGGGCUGUCACCUGGACCAGUACUACUAUGCUGUUCUCUGCAGUAAGCAUUACCCACCAGAGGGAGCCGAAGCCAAGAACUGUCAGAUUUUGAUCUGCCUUCCAGUUCUCAAGAGCGUUCCCUACUGCAGAACCUUGGAGACUGGAGAAGGAGGUAAAACAGGAAAUGGAAAGACUGCAACUUGCUAGUGAAAAACAUAAUGCCAUUGCUCAGUACUUGCUUAGUGGAGAUGAAAAGUUUGCAAGCCCAUAUUCUUGAAACUAGCACAUCCAUCCUCUUUCAAUACACUACUGUCUUGACUUACAUUGGCCACUGUCUGGUGUUUCUCAACUACAGCGACGAAGAGAAAAUUGACUGUAUCACACUGUUCAACUUAGAAACUGGAAUGGUUAAAAAAUGA
Molecule: long non-coding RNA, 533 nt
Filed under: Anser brachyrhynchus (Pink-footed goose)
Lineage: Eukaryota; Metazoa; Chordata; Aves; Anseriformes; Anatidae
Description: lncRNA (ENSABRG00000000239.1)
Source: RNAcentral